CCUACGGGAGGCUGCAGUGAGGAAUAUUGGUCAAUGGACGAGAGUCUGAACCAGCCAAGUAGCGUGAAGGAUGACUGCCCUAUGGGUUGUAAACUUCUUUUAUAUGGGAAUAAAACGUUCCACGUGUGGGAUUUUGUAUGUACCAUAUGAAUAAGGAUCGGCUAACUCCGUGCCAGCAGCCGCGGUAAUACGGAGGAUCCGAGCGUUAUCCGGAUUUAUUGGGUUUAAAGGGAGCGUAGGUGGAUUGUUAAGUCAGUUGUGAAAGUUUGCGGCUCAACCGUAAAAUUGCAGUUGAAACUGGCAGUCGUGAGUACAGUAGAGGUGGGCGGAAUUCGUGGUGUAGCGGUGAAAUGCUUAGAUAUCACGAAGAACUCCGAUUGCGAAGGCAGCUCACUGGACUGCAACUGACACUGAGGCUCGAAAGUGUGGGUAUCAAACAGGAUUAGAUACCCUUGUAGUC
Molecule: ribosomal RNA, 460 nt
Filed under: uncultured bacterium
Lineage: Bacteria
Description: partial 16S ribosomal RNA
Rfam family: Bacterial small subunit ribosomal RNA
Source: RNAcentral